UCAUUCUGCUCUUUAUAUAAAACCAUUUUUACAUUUUAAAGAGCAAGACUCAAUUAAUAAUUUUGAUCAUUAUAUGAAAGAGUUUAGUGUACAAGUUCAUUCAUUUAUUGAUAGUCAUAGCUCUAAUGUCCAUAUACAAACAGAGGAAUAACAAUUAUUAAUUAUAACAUGUAUAAAACUAAGUAUUAUCAAUAGUAUCAUUUUUAUUUCAUGUACAAGUUGUGUAUGCAUAAUUGCAUAUCUAUAUAUCUAGUGAAGUCAUGAAGAGU
Long non-coding RNA from Amphimedon queenslandica, 269 nucleotides. RefSeq lists it as uncharacterized. The transcript is spliced from 2 exons. The record is from RefSeq and is a predicted model, not a curated record. Lineage: Eukaryota; Metazoa; Porifera; Demospongiae; Haplosclerida; Niphatidae.